GCGUCGGUAGUGGAAUGGUUAGCCUGCGCUCCCGGAAAGAGUGAGAUCUGGGUUCGAAUCCCGGCUGACGCA
Molecule: non-coding RNA, 72 nt
Organism: Parelaphostrongylus tenuis
Lineage: Eukaryota; Metazoa; Nematoda; Chromadorea; Rhabditida; Metastrongylidae
Source: the annotation of a GenBank genome assembly